RNA transcript from Elaeis guineensis (African oil palm), 3276 nucleotides. RefSeq lists it as uncharacterized. The record is from RefSeq and is a predicted model, not a curated record. Lineage: Eukaryota; Viridiplantae; Streptophyta; Magnoliopsida; Arecales; Arecaceae.
UCGCUGCUGCCUCUCUUCCUCCUCCUCCCCUCUCUCUGUCUCUCUCUUCCCCUGUCCUCCCGACUGACUCCUCUUUCUAUCUCUCAAGCUCUUCUUCUCGUAUCUCCUAUAGAUUUCUUCUGUUUCUCUGAAUCUUUCUCGCAUCCGAGAGACGAGAACUCCGGUUCUUUGGAGAACGCCAUCGAUGCGCUUCUCUCGAGAAAGCUAUGCGAUUUUUCGAGAGUUUUGAACGGCGAACGCUCGGUGAAUCCCCUCGGCAUUGGACAUGAUGAGCAGAUACAGAGUAAGCCCAGAUUGCGUCCCGCUCAGCAACGGAAGGAAGCACAGCCUGAGAGCCUGCAAGGAAGACGACGCCGACAACGGUGUCCGGACCCCAAACUAUUCCCCCUUCGAAGGCAAACCUCUGAGGCGCUCCGGAUCGGGAUCGACCGCGCAUCAGGACCACCACUUCUCCCACGUCUCCUUCCCCUCCGACCCCUCCCACUCCGAGAACCAACCGCCCUCCUCCUCCGCCGCCGCCGCCGCGGCCGUCGCCUCCACUUCCGCGGCCGUGAAGGCCCCGAGCCAGCACCAUGAGAUCAACGGGGUGUCGCCCGGGGGCGGGGAGGUGCUGCUUCAGUGGGGCCACAACAAGAGAUCCCGAGGGGCGAGGGCGGAGAGCCGGGGGGCGGCCGGGGAUGAUUCGUCGGCCCACUCACGCAUCAAGAUCCAGCGGAGAUCGGCGGCCGCUGGUUCAGAGAAGCUCGCCGCCGCGGCGGCAUCGGCAGCGAUGCCCCCGCCCUGUGGGUCCUACACGCGCGGUGCCAAUCUCCGCCCCUGCUUUGCCACCCGCGACGCCAUGACAUCUUCGUUCCACAGGGGCGUCGAAGAGCGAUCGGGCGGCCUGUCACGAUCCGACAAGCGAUCCCCGCCUUCCCCGCCGGAGAAGGCCCACAAGACGGCCCCCAACGGCACCGCCACUGACGCCAACCCAGCGGACUCGAAGCCGCCGUCCGAUCAGGAGACAGGCGGCAGCAACACGGUGGAGAAGGUGAGCCUGGAGCACUUCGAGUGGCCCAGGAUCUACAUCUCCCUCUCAAGAAAGGAGAAAGAGGACGACUUUUUGGCGAUGAAAGGCACCAAGCUUCCCCAGCGCCCCAAGAAACGGGCCAAGAACAUCGAUAAAAGCCUCCAGUAUUGUUUUCCAGGGAUGUGGCUUUCGGACUUGACGAGAGGACGAUACGAAGUGAGGGAGAAGAAAUGCGUGAAGAAGGGUACAUGGACGUGGACGUAUGGUGUCUAGCACUAUGUCCAUCCUGUGACCUAGCGAGUAUUGCCUUUUGGAGGAGCAUUCCUGGAUGUCCGCCUCUUAUUGCAGCCGUCUGAUCGAUUGGCCACUUUCCCCGCUUUAUAUCUUUUGCUCUCCCUCCCCUUUGGUUUCUUUUUUAUGGGUAGAGGACAAAUAAAAUUAUUAAAAUAAUAAUAAUAAUUUUGAAUAAAAGGGGGAAAAUAAUUGGUUGGCUUUCGCUGUCACGUGGGGCCGUGCCGACCGGUGGGUGCUGUCCUCAUUGAUGGUCACAAUUAAUAAAGGCAUCCUUAUUUCUUCCCCCCUUCUGCCUUUUUGGUCUUCCCCUUCCCUCUGGGGCCAAAAGAAGCGUAGAGGGUUGAAGGGAAUGGAGAGCAUGGACAGUGAUUCGGAGUAGUGAUGGAGAUGAGUAAGAGCGAUAAGAAUCCGAAGCCAGGGCUGAUAAGAGAAAAUUAAGGGGGAAAAAAGAGGAAGCGAAGAUCGGAUGGUGGAGCGUUUGUGAUGCUUUUGUUUUGAGGUGUUCUCCCCCGCAAGAUGCCCGACGCUAGGCAUCUUUUCUGUUUCUCGCUUAUUUUUCUUCCCUUAAACCUUUGGUUUCCCGUUUGUUUUUCUCUUUGCUUUCUUUAAUCUUUUUGGUUGUUCUCUCAAGCGGAUGGAGGAGUGGUGUCGGCCCUUCCAAUCCUCGAGCUCUUGUACAGAUCUCCAGUUCCCAUUUUAAUGAGAAGAAAUUCAUCGAAUGAAAUUAGUAAUACCUGUGAUGUCCGUGGGUAAACUUUUCAAGGAGGCUUUUGGGAAUUGAAGAAGGGUAGUGGGUGCGCACUCAGGGCCCUAAACGUGGACAUGAUUUCUUCUUCACUUCUUCUAUGGGAUUGGGCUAUCUGUUUGACUGAGAAGCUGCAUGUUUUUGGACUUUUCCAACGCGUCCGACCUCACAUGCAAGUCAAGCCAGCGACAAGGUACACAGUGUGGGACAAGUUUGUUGAGAAUUAUCCGGAAUAAUUAAUCCGCAUCCCUUGGAUUUCGAGGAUCGGCCAGUCUAAAUGCUGGGUCAGCAAAGGGCAAAAACUGGAGAAGUUUGAAUUCCGAGUUACGCCCCUCUCCAAUGUUUUUCCUUUUUGGUGCGGGUCCCCUGCCUGACAAGAGUUGGAACAAGGUUAAAUACAGAACGAUCCGAUGGCCUUGGCUCCAAAAUAGCGCCUAGGAAGCGGUCUGGCGAUGAAUCGAGUGACUUUAGUCGCUUAAAAGUCCAACUAUUAGUUAGAUGCUGUUUUCUUUGGCCAUUGGCUGUACAUACCUAAUCAUCUGCGUUUCUCCAUUCUUUGUAUUUUAUGGCGCCUGUCUGCUAGUUUCCCAUACAUGCCCGCGUGCUGUUUUAUAGUUAAGAGCAACGUUAUCGAUGCACUCCGGAGAAAUAGCGGUGGAGAAAUAGCGGUGGGUGUAAGAAGUGUUUGGCUGCCCAAGAUAGGGUUCUUUAUAAAGAAAGUUUUUGUUUUCAGGGCGACAAAGUUGUUUGUGCAGCUAAGAAGGAUGGAAGACUUGCUGCAAAGAUAUGACAGCGAAACGUACAAAUUUCCCAUCCAUGAGGGUGAUUUGGAAAUACAAACGCAAUCCUAAUUAUGCCUUUUGCGCACCUUGGUGUUGGAGGAAGGCACACCCUUGGCUCGGUUUGUGAUGUGACAAGUUUGUUGCUCUGGCCAAUCAUACAUACCACAUCAUUUUUUUUUUUGGGUGAAGAUGCAUAGAACGUCAUUUUUUAUUUAUUCAAUUAUUGCAUCCCAUCAUAAUCCUCAUGCAUUCCACAGGGCUCUAUCUUCUCUUCACCAAAAGAGAAAAAAACAGGGGGCUCUAUCUUCUCAGGCAGCAGGGCAAAUUUAGUUUCAGGAGUGUAGCCUUCUUUGGGAGGAUCAAGCAGUAUCGGUUUAACCAUGUAGAUAACUUCAAACUGUCACUGAGAGAUAUAUGAUUUCUCCUUUCAAAAAAAAAAAAAAAAA